AUUGAACGCUGGCGGAAUGCUUUACACAUGCAAGUCGAACGGCAGCACGGGGCAACCUGGUGGCGAGUGGCGAACGGGUGAGUAAUGCAUCGGAACGUGCCCAGUCGUGGGGGAUAACGUAGCGAAAGCUACGCUAAUACCGCAUACGAUCUACGGAUGAAAGCGGGGGACGUCGCAAGAGCCUCGCGCGAUUGGAGCGGCCGAUGGCAGAUUAGGUAGUUGGUGGGGUAAAGGCUCACCAAGCCUGCGAUCUGUAGCUGGUCUGAGAGGACGACCAGCCACACUGGAACUGAGACACGGUCCAGACUCCUACGGGAGGCAGCAGUGGGGAAUUUUGGACAAUGGGCGCAAGCCUGAUCCAGCCAUUCCGCGUGCAGGAUGAAGGCCUCGGUU
Molecule: ribosomal RNA, 393 nt
Filed under: uncultured bacterium
Lineage: Bacteria
Description: bacterial SSU rRNA
Rfam family: Bacterial small subunit ribosomal RNA
Source: RNAcentral